Echinostoma caproni is the source of this 45-nucleotide non-coding RNA. The record is from Rfam. NCBI's taxonomy places the organism in Eukaryota, Metazoa, Platyhelminthes, Trematoda, Plagiorchiida, Echinostomatidae.
GCACAGCUGACGAGUCCCAAACAGGACGAAACACUUUUCCAGUAC